GGAUUGUAGCGCAGUGGUAGAGCGCUUGCCUAACACAUACGAAACCCUGGGUUUGAUCCUCAGCACCA
This 68-nucleotide transfer RNA is filed under the name Marmota monax (woodchuck). RNAcentral's name for it is "tRNA.Val". The record is from RNAcentral. Lineage: Eukaryota; Metazoa; Chordata; Mammalia; Rodentia; Sciuridae.